RNAcentral lists this ribosomal RNA (376 nucleotides) under uncultured organism. RNAcentral's name for it is "partial 16S ribosomal RNA". It matches the Rfam family "Bacterial small subunit ribosomal RNA", at positions 527 to 897 of the family's 1533-position model. The record is from RNAcentral.
GAACCGUACGAACGUUAUUCGGGAAUCACUGGGGCUUAAAGGGUGCGUAGGCGGCCUGGUAAGUUGGGUGUGAAAGCCCUCGGCUCAACCGAGGGAAUUGCGCCCAAUACUGUCAGGCUCGAGGGAGACAGAGGUGAGCGGAACUGAUGGUGGAGCGGUGAAAUGCGUUGAUAUUAUCAGGAACACCGGUUGCGAAGGCGGCUCACUGGGUCUCUUCUGACGCUGAGGCACGAAAGCUAGGGUAGCGAACGGGAUUAGAUACCCCGGUAGUCCUAGCUGUAAACGAUGAGCACUAGGUCGGAGGCCCUUCCACAGGCUUCCGGUCGUAGCGAAAGUGUUAAGUGCUCCGCCUGGGGAGUAUGGUCGCAAAGGCUGA